UACAAAGGGGGCUAGCGUUGCUCGGAAUUACUGGACGUAAAGCGCACGUAGGCGGAUUGUUAAGUCGGGGGUGAAAUCCUGGAGCUCAACUCCAGAACUGCCUUCGAAACUGGCGAUCUUGAGUCCGGGAGAGGUGAGUGGAACUGCGAGUGUAGAGGUGAAAUUCGUAGAUAUUCGCAAGAACACCAGUGGCGAAGGCGGCUCACUGGCCCGGUACUGACGCUGAGGUGCGAAAGCGUGGGGAGCAAACAGG
This 253-nucleotide ribosomal RNA is filed under the name uncultured bacterium. Its description in RNAcentral is "partial 16S ribosomal RNA". It matches the Rfam family "Bacterial small subunit ribosomal RNA", at positions 524 to 776 of the family's 1533-position model. The record is from RNAcentral.